UCGUCCUACGGGACGCAGCAGUGAGGAAUAUUGGUCAAUGGACGCAAGUCUGAACCAGCCAUGCCGCGUGCAGGAAGACGGCUCUAUGAGUUGUAAACUGCUUUUGUACGAGGGUAAAUCCCGAUACGUGUAUCGGGUUGAAAGUAUCGUACGAAUAAGGAUCGGCUAACUCCGUGCCAACAGCCGCGGUAAUACGGAGGAUUCAAGCGUUAUCCGGAUUUAUUGGGUGUAAAGGGAGCGUAGACGGCGUGCCAAGUCUGAUGUGAA
Molecule: ribosomal RNA, 267 nt
Filed under: uncultured bacterium
Lineage: Bacteria
Description: partial 16S ribosomal RNA
Rfam family: Bacterial small subunit ribosomal RNA
Source: RNAcentral